RNAcentral lists this ribosomal RNA (465 nucleotides) under Vreelandella stevensii. RNAcentral describes it as "partial 16S ribosomal RNA". It matches the Rfam family "Bacterial small subunit ribosomal RNA", at positions 338 to 795 of the family's 1533-position model. The record is from RNAcentral. Lineage: Bacteria; Pseudomonadati; Pseudomonadota; Gammaproteobacteria; Oceanospirillales; Halomonadaceae.
CCUACGGGGGGCUGCAGUGGGGAAUAUUGGACAAUGGGCGAAAGCCUGAUCCAGCCAUGCCGCGUGUGUGAAGAAGGCCUUCGGGUUGUAAAGCACUUUCAGUGGGGAAGAAAGCCUUGGGGCUAAUACCCUCGAGGAAGGACAUCACCCACAGAAGAAGCACCGGCUAACUCCGUGCCAGCAGCCGCGGUAAUACGGAGGGUGCGAGCGUUAAUCGGAAUUACUGGGCGUAAAGCGCGCGUAGGCGGUCUGAUAAGCCGGUUGUGAAAGCCCCGGGCUCAACCUGGGAACGGCAUCCGGAACUGUCAGGCUUGAGUGCAGGAGAGGAAGGUAGAAUUCCCGGUGUAGCGGUGAAAUGCGUAGAGAUCGGGAGGAAUACCAGUGGCGAAGGCGGCCUUCUGGACUGACACUGACGCUGAGGUGCGAAAGCGUGGGUAGCAAACAGGAUUAGAUACCCGUGUAGUC